UGCCCAAAUUGGGGUUCCAUGAUAUUUUCCCUAAACUGUACACGUUGUAGGUUUUAAUGGUUUAAUUAAAAAUGUGUUAAAGGCUCAAGAAGCGUUUGUUCACUUGGUGAAUAAGUUGAGUUUCGACAAGUUAAAAUGAGUGGAUUUCUUUAAUGGAUUGGAAAUUUGAGUCGUAAAUUUCUUUGAGUGGACAACAGUACUUGAGAGAUAUCCAAGUUUGAUUAUGCAAGAUUGCUAAUGAGCACAAACUCUUCUAAUUCUCGAAGCAAAAUUAUUGUCAUGGACAUUGAUAAAGUCCGCUACCAUAUCUACUGAAGAGCCAUGGCAUGAGUUCUUCCAAGCUUUCACCAUUAACCAAAAGGUCACAAGUCCUCCAUCCUCCAACUAUUAGGUGACAUGGAUUCCCUUAAUAUUCUGAUUUAUCUAUUUGGUGAUGUGGAAGUCAGCCAGGUCACUCCUGGAAAUAUUAAUUUGUGGGCAAUUUCUUGAUCCUAUUAUAAAUUAUUACUUGGUGCAUGAAGAAGAUUUAGGUGGCUCAAGUCAACAAAAUAGUUGUCAUUCCUUAAAUACUGGAACGUUAGAUCUCUUUCCUCAAUAUAAAAGGAAUAACUUGCAUCAAAACUCUCCAAUUGAAACUCCAAAUGACAACCACCUUUCUUCAGAUCUUGAUGCUUUUGUUAUCAAUUUUGAAAAUGAUAUGUUUCAUAAGCAAUUCAUUGUAAACCACCAACCAACCUUAAACCUAAUUGAAUUUCAACAUAAGAUAACCUUCACCAAACACCGCAAUACCAUGUUAGGAAAACCAAAUAAUGGUUAAGACUAAGUGAAUUUACUUGGGGAUAACUUCACUCAAGAACUUAAUAAAUUCAGCUUAUUUGGUUGGCAUUUUGUAUUAACUUCAACUGAAAUUAAGGAAGUCACUUCCUUCACUCCUCGAAAAUUAACUUAGGAUAAGUUACUUUUUGGAAAGUGAACUUCCCAAGAAGUAAAAGUAAGGAGUUUGAACCAAAUAAGACCUAAGGGAGAGAUCUUCUUCUGGGUCUACCCAAUAGCCCAACCAAAACAGGGCUAAUGGCAACCUAAAUUUGGAUGGUGAAAUUCUCUUUUCUCACUUCAAAAUUAAAAAAAUAAUAGAAAAAAAAGGUUAUAAAGGACCAUAGUAAAUUCAAUACAAUUGUGGAUCCAUGGGCCCUCUAUCCAAAGUUAGCGCUUGGUGGCAAGAGUAAACUAGAGAUCGUGCAAGGGCAAACAAUUUUUAUGCCAUUGAUUAUGAAAUCAAACACUUGAACGUCCUCCAUAGCUCUAUAUACUUGCAGAAUAAUCAGAAUCUUCUCCACCCCAAGAAAUGAACCAACUCUUCAGGUUGGAAAGAGUCAUGAUCUUAUCUUUGAAGGCGAUGAGAAUUUCACUCUUAAUCAAAUUGCAAAACAAAUUUCUGAUGACUUAAACUAAAGUAAAUGUCUAAUAUGAAGCUUCAUUCUCCGUACGGAUGACGUUUCAUGGCGAUAGGUGGAAUCCCUAUCUUUUAGAACAAAACUACCGAUUCUUUCAAAAGAUGGACUCUGCUUAUUACUAGGACAUUAAUUCCUAACAGCGUUCAUUGCACUUUGGCUUUCUUUUACGGAUCCUGUGAUUACUUUAAACAACACAGUUUAUAAAAUGAAAUCUCCAGAGCUGGAUUCUAUCCUAUUAAUGGGGAUUUUAAUCGAAUCUUGGAGAUAUCUAAAAGAAAGAAAUUCAAAAACACAAAUACUGGUGAGCGUCAAUUUUGUUCUUUUAACAACUCUGUUUUGAUUGAUGUAGUAUUGCAAGGGAGGGCUGAAUCAAAUCCAUAUUGGCAGAGCUUGGUAUUUUUUUUGCUCCCUUGCACACUAUGGUGUGAUAAUGUUGGAGCCAUUAUAUAUUUGCCAAUCCGAUGCAUCUUUCAUACAUGUGCAAAACAUUGAACUCAAUUUUCAUUUUGUAAGGGAACAAGUUGCUGCAAGGUCUGUUCAAAUAAAGUUUAUUUCCUUUGAGAAGUAGAUUGCAGAUGCGUUUACUAAACUGCUAGGAGAACGCCAAAUUGAGAAGUUUUGAGACAAGCUUCUGUUGCUCUCUAGACCUACCUUUAGCUUGCAAGGGGGUUUUAAGGGAGUAGAUAACCUUCAUUAAUUUGUUAUAUAUAUCUUUAGCUCUUCCUAGUCUAUCUCUUGUAUUUACAAUGAAUGCAAUACACACAAAAUAUAUUUCUCCUCAAAUAUAUAUUUUAAUAUUUGUCUAUUAAACAUAUAUUAAAUAAUUG
RNAcentral lists this unclassified non-coding RNA (2281 nucleotides) under Hevea brasiliensis (rubber tree). The record is from RNAcentral. Lineage: Eukaryota; Viridiplantae; Streptophyta; Magnoliopsida; Malpighiales; Euphorbiaceae.